AACGAACGCUGGCGGCGGGCUUAACACAUGCAAGUCGAGCGCCCCGCAAGGGGAGCGGCAGACGGGUGAGUAACGCGUGGGAACAUACCCUUUCCUGCGGAAUAGCUCCGGGAUACUGGAAUUAAUACCGCAUACGCCCUACGGGGGAAAGAUUUAUCGGGGAAGGAUUGGCCCGCGUUGGAUUAGCUAGUUGGUGGGGUAAAGGCCUACCAAGGCGACGAUCCAUAGCUGGUCUGAGAGGAUGAUCAGCCACAUUGGGACUGAGACACGGCCCAAACUCCUACGGGAGGCAGCAGUGGGGAAUAUUGGACAAUGGGCGCAAGCCUGAUCCAGCCAUGCCGCGUGAGUGAUGAAGGCCUUAGGGUUGUAAAGCUCUUUCACCGGAGAAGAUAAUGACGGUAUCCGGAGAAGAAGCCCCGGCUAACUUCGUGCCAGCCGCCGCCGUAA
This 447-nucleotide ribosomal RNA is filed under the name uncultured bacterium. RNAcentral's name for it is "partial 16S ribosomal RNA". It matches the Rfam family "Bacterial small subunit ribosomal RNA", at positions 29 to 523 of the family's 1533-position model. The record is from RNAcentral.